This is a long non-coding RNA of Saccostrea echinata, 860 nucleotides long. RefSeq lists it as uncharacterized. The record is from RefSeq and is a predicted model, not a curated record. NCBI's taxonomy places the organism in Eukaryota, Metazoa, Mollusca, Bivalvia, Ostreida, Ostreidae. The transcript is spliced from 2 exons.
ACCCUUGAGCUACGCCCGGAACGUUAUGGGUAGUUUAUUAUUAAUAAUGUGGACCUUAAUCAAACUCUUCAGGAAAAAUAAAGAUCUCAUUCGUCGAUGGUAAAUAGAUUGUGAAAUCUAAUCUCCUAGCUAGGAGAAGAUCGAGUCUGACGCGUUUUCCUGCAGUCUUUGACGCUAAUUAGAGGAUUCUGUGUAAAGGUGGGGCACUGUUAUAAGAAGAUAUGUCACGUAAAGAACCAAAGAAACACGUUUAUAACAAAUCACAGAGUUCCAUAAAUAAUGUCUGGAACAACGUGUCUUCAAAUUCUGACCAAUCAGCGCAAAGUGUGCAUCACAAAAGUCCCUGUAAAGUUAACCAAUUAGAUAAAGGACAUUCGAAAAAUGACAACCAAUCAGAGCGAAGGAAAGUGUCUGAACUGGUGGAACAUGUAGAACUUUUAUGACGACAGUGUGCGUCAGUCAAUUCUUUGGAAAAUAAUUUGGAAUUUUAUUUUAUUUUAAUACUUUGAUUUCUUAAAGGACUAAGAAAUGUUGCAAAACUUUACCUUAAUAUCUCGACAUACCUCUUGAAAAUUCUUCACUCCCAUUCGACAAACCUCGGCUGAUUCCGUCACCUUCAUCAGAGGUACGAAUCGGCCGAGGUGUGCCGAGUGUCUUCACUCCCAGUGCAAAGUCAUGCACUUCUAAGACAUUAUAGCAUCAGCUAGAACUCCAAAGCAACCGAUCAGUACUUCCGAUUAAGUAUUUCGCUAGAUGUUAGAAUUUGUACUUUUAUAUUAAUUUCAUGUUGGCAAGACAUAUUUUAAAAAUAGGAUUGACACUUUUCACGAAGAAAAUGCAAUAAAAGUAAAAGAUUUUGU